UGAGUACGAGACGCUAAGGCGUUGAAGCAGUCUAUGUCAGACUUCCAAGAAAAGCUCGCAAUGUCAUAAACAAAGAAUGCCUGUACCAUAACCGACACAGGUGGGUAGGUAGAGUAUACUAAGGGGCGCGAGAUAACUCUCUCUAAGGAACUCGGCAAAAUGACUCCGUAACUUCGGGAGAAGGAGUGCCUUAUUUUUAUAAGGUUGCAAUAACAAGAUCCAAGCAACUGUUUACCAAAAACACAGGUCUCCGCUAAGUCGUAAGACGAUGUAUGGGGGCUGGCGCCUGCCCAGUGCCAGAAGGUUAAAGAAGUUGGUUAGUUUCGGCGAAGCUGAUGACUGAAGCCCUGGUGAACGGCGGCCGUAACAAUAACGGUCCUAAGGUAGCGAAAUUCCUUGUCGGGUAAGUUCCGACCCGCACGAAAGGCGUAAUGAUUUGGAUACUGUCUCGGAGAGGGGCUCGGUGAAAUAGACUUGUCUGUGAAGAUGCGGACUACCUGCACCUGGACAGAAAGACCCUAUGAAGCUUUACUGUAACUUGAGAUUGAAAUUGGACUUUAUUUGCGCAGUAUAGGUGGGAGACGUUGAGAAUAUUCUUGCGGGAAUAUUGGAGUCAUCAGUGAGAUACCACUCUUGUAAUGUUAGAUUUCUAACUUUGUAUCAUUAUCUGGUCAAAGGACAGUUUCAGGCGGGCAGUUUGACUGGGGCGGUCGCCUCCCAAACGGUAACGGAGGCGCACAAAGGUUUCCUCUGAACGUGUAGAAAUCGUAUCUAGAGUGUAAAGGCAUAAGGAAGCUUGACUGUGAGACCUACAAGUCGAGCAGGGACGAAAGUCGGUCUUAGUGAUCUGACGGUGCUGAGUGGAAAGGCCGUCACUCAACGGAUAAAAGUUACUCUAAGGAUAACAGGCUGAUCUCCCCCAAGAGUUCACAUCGACGGGGAGGUUUGGCACCUCGAUGUCGGCUCAUCGCAUCCUGGGGCGGUAGUACGUCCCAAGGGUUGGGCUGUUCGCCCAUGAAAGCGGUACGCGAGCUGGGUUCAGAACGUCGUGAGACAGUUCGGUCCAUAUCCGGUGUAGGCGUUAGAAUAUUGAGAGGAGCCUUCUUUAGUACGAGAGGACCGAGAAGGACAUACCUCUGGUGUACCAGUUAUCGCGCCAACGGUAAACGCUGGGUAGCUAUGUAUGGAGUGGAUAACCGCUGAAAGCAUCUAAGUGGGAAGCCCACCUCAAGAUAGGUAUUCUC
Molecule: ribosomal RNA, 1244 nt
Filed under: metagenome
Description: bacterial LSU rRNA
Rfam family: Bacterial large subunit ribosomal RNA
Source: RNAcentral